Molecule: ribosomal RNA, 548 nt
Filed under: uncultured bacterium
Lineage: Bacteria
Description: partial 16S ribosomal RNA
Source: RNAcentral
AACCUUGCGGCCGUACUCCCCAGGCGGUCAACUUAAUGCGUUAGCUGCGCCACUAAAAUCUCAAGGAUUCCGACGGCUAGUUGACAUCGUUUACGGCGUGGACUACCAGGGUAUCUAAUCCUGUUUGCUCCCCACACUUUCGCACCUCAGUGUCAGUAUCAGUCCAGGUGGUCGCCUUCGCCACUGGUGUUCCUUCCUAUAUCUACGCAUUUCACCGCUACACAGGAAAUUCCACCACCCUCUACCGUACUCUAGCUUGCCAGUUUUGGAUGCAGUUCCCAGGUUGAGCCCGGGGCUUUCACAUCCAACUUAACAAACCACCUACGCGCGCUUUACGCCCAGUAAUUCCGAUUAACGCUUGCACCCUCUGUAUUACCGCGGCUGCUGGCACAGAGUUAGCCGGUGCUUAUUCUGUCGGUAACGUCAAAACAGCAAGGUAUUAACUUACUGCCCUUCCUCCCAACUUAAAGUGCUUUACAAUCCGAAGACCUUCUUCACACACGCGGCAUGGCUGGAUCAGGCUUUCGCCCAUUGUCCAAUAUUCCCCA